Molecule: ribosomal RNA, 459 nt
Filed under: uncultured bacterium
Lineage: Bacteria
Description: partial 16S ribosomal RNA
Rfam family: Bacterial small subunit ribosomal RNA
Source: RNAcentral
CCUACGGGAGGCAGCAGUGAGGAAUAUUGGUCAAUGGCCGAGAGGCUGAACCAGCCAAGUCGCGUGAGGGAAGACGGCCCUACGGGUUGUAAACCUCUUUUGUCGGGGAGCAAAGCGAGUCCCGUGUGACUCAUUGAGAGUACCCGAAGAAAAAGCAUCGGCUAACUCCGUGCCAGCAGCCGCGGUAAUACGGAGGAUGCGAGCGUUAUCCGGAUGUAUUGGGGUUAAGGGGUGCGCAGGCGGAGGUGCAAGUCAGAGGGAAAAUUGCGGGGCUCAACCCCGUACUGCCGUUGAAACUGCAUCCCUUGAGUGCGCGAGAGGUAUGCGGAAUGCGUGGUGUAGCGGUGAAAUGCAUAGAUAGCACGAAGAACUCCGAUGGCGAAGGCAGCAUACCGGCGCGCAACUGACGCUCAUGCACGAAAGCGUGGGUAUCGAACAGGAUUAGAUACCCGAGUAGUC